UGCUGUCCCAUGUAGGCCAUCACCCCUGAC
This 30-nucleotide non-coding RNA is filed under the name Homo sapiens (human). The record is from RNAcentral. Lineage: Eukaryota; Metazoa; Chordata; Mammalia; Primates; Hominidae.